UACGGAGGGUGCAAGCGUUAUCCGGAUUCACUGGGUUUAAAGGGUGCGUAGGCGGAUAGUUAAGUCUGUGGUGAAAUCUCCCGACUUAAUCGGGAAACUGCCGUGGAUACUAUCUAUCUUGAAUGUCGUGGAGGUUAGCGGAAUAUGUCAUGUAGCGGUGAAAUGCUUAGAUAUGACAUAGAACACCUAUUGCGAAGGCAGCUAACUACGCGAAUAUUGACGCUGAGGCACGAAAGCGUGGGGAUCAAACAGGAUUAGAAACCCCCGUAGUCC
This 273-nucleotide ribosomal RNA is filed under the name uncultured bacterium. Its description in RNAcentral is "partial 16S ribosomal RNA". It matches the Rfam family "Bacterial small subunit ribosomal RNA", at positions 524 to 796 of the family's 1533-position model. The record is from RNAcentral.